CCUACGGGGGGCAGCAGUGGGGAAUAUUGGGCAAUGGGCGCAAGCCUGACCCAGCAACGCCGCGUGAAGGAAGAAGGCUCUCGGGUUGUUAACCUCCUUUCUGAGGGACGAAGAAAGUGACGGUACCUCAGGAAUAAGCCACGGCUAACUACGUGGCAGCAGCCGCGGUAAUACGUAGGUGGCAAGCGUUAUCCGGAUUUAAUGGGUGUAAAGGGCGUGUAGGCGGGAAAGUAAGUCAGAUGUGAAAUCUCAGGGCUCAACCCUGAGCCUGCAUUUGAAACUGUUUUUCUUGAGUGCUGGAGAGGCAAUCGGAAUUCCGGGUGUAGCGGUGAAAUGCGUAGAUAUACGGAAGAACACCAGUGGCGAAGGCGGAUUGCUGGACAGUAACUGACGCUGAGGCGCGAAAGCGUGGGGAGCAAACAGGAUUAGAUACCCUUGUAGUC
Molecule: ribosomal RNA, 443 nt
Filed under: uncultured bacterium
Lineage: Bacteria
Description: partial 16S ribosomal RNA
Rfam family: Bacterial small subunit ribosomal RNA
Source: RNAcentral